AGUUAAAAAAUUUAUUCAUUUGUAUCAUUAAAAACUGGUGUGACCGAUAGAAUAACUAAAUAGUGACAUAUGCGUGUCAUGUGUACCUCAUGCUGACAUAUAAGUAUCAAUUAUUAAUAAUAAAAAUAAAUAGAAUUUUUAAUA
This is a non-coding RNA of Gossypium hirsutum (cotton), 144 nucleotides long. The record is from Rfam. NCBI's taxonomy places the organism in Eukaryota, Viridiplantae, Streptophyta, Magnoliopsida, Malvales, Malvaceae.